This 397-nucleotide ribosomal RNA is filed under the name uncultured bacterium. RNAcentral's name for it is "bacterial SSU rRNA". It matches the Rfam family "Bacterial small subunit ribosomal RNA", at positions 362 to 776 of the family's 1533-position model. The record is from RNAcentral.
UAUUGCACAAUGGGGGAAACCCUGAUGCAGCGACGCCGCGUGAGUGAAGAAGCAUUUCGGUAUGUAAAGCUCUAUCAGCAGGGACGAAAAUGACGGUACCUGAUUAAGAAGCCCCGGCUAACUAUGUGCCAGCACCCGCGGUAAUACGCAGGGGGCAAGCGUUAUCCGGAUUUACUGGGUGUAAAGGGAGCGUAGACGGUUAUGCAAGUCUGGAGUGAAAGGCGGGGGCUCAACCCCCGGACUGCUCUGGAAACUGUAGAACUAGAGUGCAGGAGGGGUAAGUGGAAUUCCUAGUGUAGCGGUGAAAUGCGUAGAUAUUAGGAGGAACACCAGUGGCGAAGGCGGCUUACUGGACUGUAACUGACGUUGAGGCUCGAAAGCGUGGGGAGCAAACAGG